Molecule: ribosomal RNA, 711 nt
Filed under: uncultured marine alveolate
Lineage: Eukaryota
Description: SSU rRNA
Rfam family: Eukaryotic small subunit ribosomal RNA
Source: RNAcentral
GUUAAAAAGCUCGUAGUUGGAUUUCUGUUGAAAACGGCCCGUCCGCAUUUUGUGCGUGUAUGUGGCUUGGUUUCGGCAUCCUUUCAAAGAACGCAACUGUAAUUCAGUUUAUGGGGCGGUACUUUGGAACUUUUACUUUGAGGAAAUUAGAGUGUUCACGGCAGGCAAUCGCCUUGAAUAUAUUAGCAUGGAAUAAUACUAUAGGAUCUUGGGUCUAUUUUGUUGGUUUCUAGAACUAAGAUAAUGAUUAAUAGGGACAAUUGGGGGCAUUCGUAUUAACACGUCAGAGGUGGAAUUCUUAGAUUGUGUUACGACGAACUACUGCGAAAGCAUUUGCCAAGGAUGUUUUCAUUGAUCAAGAACGAAAGUGAGGGGAUCGAAGAUGAUUAGAUACCGUCGUAGUCUUCACCAUAAACUAUGCCGACUAGAGAUUGGAAGUCGUCCUUUUAUGACUCUUCCAGCACCUUAUGAGAAAUCAAAGUCUUUGGGUUCCGGGGGGAGUAUGGUCGCAAGGCUGAAACUUAAAGGAAUUGACGGAAGGGCACCACCAGGAGUGGAGCCUGCGGCUUAAUUUGACUCAACACGGGGAAACUUACCAGGUCCAGACAUAGUUAGGAUUGACAGAUUAAGAGCUCUUUCUUGAUUCUAUGGGUGGUGGUGCAUGGCCGUUCUUAGUUGGUGGAGUGAUUUGUCUGGUUAAUUCCGUUAACG